Molecule: ribosomal RNA, 301 nt
Filed under: uncultured bacterium
Lineage: Bacteria
Description: partial 16S ribosomal RNA
Rfam family: Bacterial small subunit ribosomal RNA
Source: RNAcentral
CAGUAGCCGCGGUAAUACGAGGGGAGCUAGCGUUGUUCGGAAUUACUGGGCGUAAAGCGCGCGUAGGCGGCUUUUUAAGUCAGAGGUGAAAGCCCGGGGCUCAACCCCGGAAUUGCCUUUGAAACUGGAAAGCUAGAAUCUUGGAGAGGUCAGUGGAAUUCCGAGUGUAGAGGUGAAAUUCGUAGAUAUUCGGAAGAACACCAGUGGCGAAGGCGACUGACUGGACAAGUAUUGACGCUGAGGUGCGAAAGCGUGGGGAGCAAACAGGAUUAGAUACCCCGGUAGUCCCUGUCUCUUAUAC